RNAcentral lists this ribosomal RNA (643 nucleotides) under Synechococcus sp. NR9(2012). RNAcentral describes it as "bacterial SSU rRNA". It matches the Rfam family "Bacterial small subunit ribosomal RNA", at positions 148 to 804 of the family's 1533-position model. The record is from RNAcentral. Lineage: Bacteria; Bacillati; Cyanobacteriota; Cyanophyceae; Synechococcales; Synechococcaceae.
CUCCGCACACAUUUCGCUGCUCUGGACGAUGGCUAAUACCUCGUAUUGCUGAGAAGUGAAAGAUGAAAGUCGCCAAGAGAUGGGCUUGCGGCUGAUUAGCUAGUUGGUGGGGUAAAAGCUUACCAAGGCGAUGAUCAGUAGCUGGUCUGAGAGGAUGAUCAGCCACACUGGGACUGAGACACGGCCCAGACUCCUACGGGAGGCAGCAGUGAGGAAUUUUCCGCAAUGGGCGAAAGCCUGACGGAGCAAUGCCGCGUGAAGGAUGACGGCCUAUGGGUUGUAAACUUCUUUUCUCAGAGAAGAAUUUUUGACGGUAUCUGAGGAAUAAGCAUCGGCUAACUCUGUGCCAGCAGCCGCGGUAAGACAGAGGAUGCAAGCGUUAUCCGGAAUGAUUGGGCGUAAAGCGUCUGUAGGUGGCUUAAAAAGUCUCCUGUCAAAGAUCAGGGCUUAACCCUGGGCCGGCAGGAGAAACUCUUAGGCUAGAGUUUGGUAGGGGCAGAGGGAAUUCCCGGUGGAGCGGUGAAAUGCGUAGAGAUCGGGAGGAACACCAAAGGCGAAAGGCACUCUGCUGGGCCAGAACUGACACUGAGAGACGAAAGCGAGGGGGAGCAAAAGGGGAUUAGAUACCCCUUGUAGUUCAGAA